This 484-nucleotide ribosomal RNA is filed under the name uncultured bacterium. RNAcentral describes it as "partial 16S ribosomal RNA". It matches the Rfam family "Bacterial small subunit ribosomal RNA", at positions 29 to 507 of the family's 1533-position model. The record is from RNAcentral.
AUUGAACGCUGGCGGAAUGCUUUACACAUGCAAGUCGAACGGCAGCACGGGGGCAGCCCUGGAGGCGAGUGGCGAACGGGUGAGUAAUACAUCGGAACGUGCCCGGUCGUGGGGGAUAACGUAGCGAAAGUUACGCUAAUACCGCAUACGAUCUGAGGAUGAAAGCGGGGGACCUUCGGGCCUCGCGCGAUCGGAGCUGCCGAUGUCAGAUUAGGUAGUUGGUGGGGUAAAGGCCUACCAAGCCGACGAUCUGUAGCUGGUCUGAGAGGACGACCAGCCACACUGGGACUGAGACACGGCCCAGACUCCUACGGGAGGCAGCAGUGGGGAAUGUUGGACAAUGGGCGCAAGCCUGAUCCAGCCAUUCCGCGUGGAUGACGAAGGCCUUCGGGUUGUAAACUGCUUUUGUACGGAACGAAAAGGAUCUGGCUAAUACCUGGGGCUCAUGACGGUACCGGAAGAAUAAGCACCGGCUAACUACGUG